Molecule: ribosomal RNA, 480 nt
Filed under: uncultured bacterium
Lineage: Bacteria
Description: bacterial SSU rRNA
Rfam family: Bacterial small subunit ribosomal RNA
Source: RNAcentral
UGGCGGCGUGCCUAACACAUGCAAGUCGAACGGAGUCUGUGGAAGUCCUCGGGAGCGGAAGCUGGACUAGUGGCGAACGGGUGAGUAACGCGUGAGCAACCUGCCUUUCAGAGGGGGGACAACGGUUGGAAACGACCGCUAAUACCGCAUAAUGUAUUGAGAUCGCAUGGUUUUGAUACCAAAGAUUAUAUCGCUGAAAGAUGGGCUCGCGUCUGAUUAGAUAGUUGGUGGGGUAACGGCCUACCAAGUCGACGAUCAGUAGCCGGACUGAGAGGUUGAACGGCCACAUUGGGACUGAGAUACGGCCCAGACUCCUACGGGAGGCAGCAGUGGGGAAUAUUGGGCAAUGGGGGGCAACCCUGACCCAGCAACGCCGCGUGAAGGAAGAAGGCUUUCGGGUUGUAAACUUCUUUUACCAGGGACGAAGGACGUGACGGUACCUGGAGAAAAAGCCACGGCUAACUACGUGCCAGCCGCUGC